GGAGGGGGUGGGGAGUGGAGUGUUUAACUUUUUUUCCUCGCUUUUAAAGAUUUGAGUUAUUCUCUCCAGCGGUUUUCAAAGACUCAACAGAAAAAAAAAAAAAAAAAAAAAAAAAAAAAAAAAAAAAAAAAAAAAAAACGCGAACGGCACACGCACCCACCCGCGCCGAGCUUCCCCCAGCCCCGGGAGGCGGCGAGGCACGCCUGCGCGGCGAAAGCGGCGGGAAACGCGGCGCUGAGGUGACUGUGGAGAAAAAGCUAUACUGAUUAUUCUCUGUAACCAUAGUUGGAGGAGUAUUUUUAUGGGUGUGAACGUUUUCGAGGAAGAUAUGGUAACCUACAGACUGUUCCUAACAGAAGAAAGAAAACUCUUAACUACUCACAAAUGAUUCUUGUCAGAAUGAAAUUCCUGCAGUUACUGUCCAGGAAACCAAGGAAACUGGAAUUGCUUUUUCAAAUACCUUUUUGCCAAAAGCAAUUCCCACGUAUGUGUCUGGCUACCUCUGCGUGUCUUUAUAGUAAAAAGAAAAAAGCCAACAGUUAUGAACAAGUUGACCAAGAAAAAUACAAGAACUUGGUCUACUCAGUUACAUCUUACAAAACCAGCACUCAAACACCAGAGACAGUACCUGAAGAAGGCAAUUUGUUAAAUGGGCCAUCGAGUAAAUGCAGACCUCCAGUUAAAGCUGAAACAGAAACUCCCAAGAACUGGGUUCCUUUAAUAAACCCCAACAAGAGAGUUCCCCCUCUCAACAGUGAUUCAAACCUCCCUGUGAAAAUUGCUUUACAAAAAACUAAAAUGCCCAGUGUUACCCGUAUUCUUCAGCAGACUGUUUCUCCACAGCAAGCCUUUUAUCUAGAAAGAUGGAAGCAGAAAAUGAUACUGGAACUUGGAGAAGAUGGUUUUGCAGAGUAUACUAAAAAUCUUUUUCUCCAAGGAGAGCUUUUCCAUGCAGCUUUGGAAUCUAUAUUCCUGUCCGAAGAAACGGCAACUAAGGAGCAGAGAGAAGAUACUGCUAUUUCUGGCUACUUAUCAAGUGUGCAACAUGUCUUGAAAGAUGUCAGCGAAGUGAAAGCUCUGGAAAGCGCAGUUCAGCAUGAGACUCUUCAGUAUCUGGGCCUGGUAGACUGCGUGGCUAAGUAUCGAGGCCAGUUGUGUGUGAUUGACUGGAAAACUUCAGAGAAACCAAAGCCAUCUCUGAAGAACACUUUUGACAACCCAUUACAGAUUGCAGCAUAUAUUGGAGCCAUAAAUCAUGAUGCCAAUUAUGACUUCCAGGUUAGUUGCGGACUCAUUGUGGUUGCCUACAAGAAUGGCUACCCUGCGCAUCCCCAUUUCAUGGAUCCUGAUCUGUGCUCGCAGUACUGGAAUAAGUGGCUUUUGCGCCUGGAAGAGUACAAGGACAGGAACUGACCAAAACUAAGCUAUGCAUCAGAGGUUUUCAACCCUAAUAAAAAAAGGUUUCUUAACAGGCCAUGUGGCCCACGUGGAAGAACUGCGUGUGUGAACAGGCUCUGUACCUCCGGUUGUGAGACUGCAGGCCAAGUCUGCGGCUGCCCUGAGCUCUCCUGACUUCACUGCGGGUCUGAGCCGACAAGGAGCCCCCCGUGUGGAACGAUCUCCAGUAUCGAGUUCGAGUGUUUGCCCACGCGAGUUUAAAUUGAUGUAAAACCUGUUUAGCAGCUGUGUCCACUAAGUCAAGAGACAGAUGAAUAGCAAGUGCUUGGACCUGAGUACCUCGUGGUUGCUGAGGAAAUUACCA
Tyto alba (common barn owl) is the source of this 1762-nucleotide RNA transcript. It is a transcript of the gene named mitochondrial genome maintenance exonuclease 1, with no coding region annotated. The record is from RefSeq and is a predicted model, not a curated record. The transcript is spliced from 8 exons. NCBI's taxonomy places the organism in Eukaryota, Metazoa, Chordata, Aves, Strigiformes, Tytonidae.